Molecule: non-coding RNA, 69 nt
Organism: Ictidomys tridecemlineatus (thirteen-lined ground squirrel)
Lineage: Eukaryota; Metazoa; Chordata; Mammalia; Rodentia; Sciuridae
Source: Rfam
GGGGCUGUAGCUUAGUGGCAGAGCACUUGCCUUGCACGUAUGAGACACUAGGUUCAAUCCUCAGUGCCA